Molecule: non-coding RNA, 1008 nt
Organism: Nicotiana tabacum (common tobacco)
Lineage: Eukaryota; Viridiplantae; Streptophyta; Magnoliopsida; Solanales; Solanaceae
Source: RefSeq, a predicted model, not a curated record
CUAAAUGACACUUAUACUUGUCUCACUUUGUCAUGCCGGUCCCCAAACUUAAUAAUUUGCCAAUUGAAUACUUACACUCCUUCAAAUCGUGUAUAAUAAACGCUUAUGACACGAGACGACCAGUGCAUGUAAUACAAUCUCCUACACGUGGGACGCCACGUCAAGAAAAUUAAACCACGUAGGCUCCAGGUCAAUUAUUAUGUCACAUAAGAAAAUAAAAGGGGAAAUGAUUCUUAUCCCUCCCAAAUCCAAAUUUUCCCCUCAGUUUACACUUACCCCUUUGUUAGGGUUUAGAAAGUAUGAACCAUUCCUGUCUCUCCCCUCUUCUUCGUCAUCCUUGCUAGGAUUUUUAUGUCCAAAGUCCACUUAAAUCCUGUCUGCUUGACGAUGAUGAUGUUGUCGUGUUGCCCCCAACCAUGGACGAGAUUGUUAGGCUUUACGAGCUCUUUUUGUCCGAUUUAACUUUCAAUUCUAAGCAUGUCAUUACUGAUCUCACCAUAAUUGCCGGCGAACAGAGAGAACACGGUCGAAGCAUCGCUGAUGCCAUUUGUUGUCGCAUUCUUGAGGUCCCAGUAAAAUAGAAAUUACCCUCAUUUAUAAACAAGGAUUGUUGGUUUUUUUUUUUAAAUUGAGGAAAUCAAUGGCAGAACAAGGGCUGUUGGUUUUCACCUCCGAAUUUCAAAGAUUAAAAAUGGAGGAAAAUCAACGGUGGCUCAGAUCUAUAAUAUUGAAGACAAGGCAAGAGAUUGGAGACAGAAGAAAAAAUUAUCAUCACAAUCUCAUAUUUUUGCAGCCUAGAUAAAAAUUUUAUUUAUGUUUGAGAUCAAUUUUAUUUGAGAACAGCUGAUUGGGAUGUAAUCAAACUGAGAUUGUAAAUAUUUACUUAGAAGAAGAAGAAGGUACAGAGGGAACAAAAAGGGAGGGGGUGGGUACGGGAAGAACAGAAAGAGACAUACCUUUUUUGCUUUUUUUUUUUUACUUAUUUUAUUUUCAUUCUUAUUUAAUUAA